This 468-nucleotide ribosomal RNA is filed under the name uncultured bacterium. RNAcentral describes it as "partial 16S ribosomal RNA". It matches the Rfam family "Bacterial small subunit ribosomal RNA", at positions 28 to 507 of the family's 1533-position model. The record is from RNAcentral.
GACGAACGCUGGCGGCGUGCUUAACACAUGCAAGUCGAACGGAAAGGCCCUGCUUUUGUGGGGCUCUCGAGUGGCGAGCGGGUGUGUAACACGUGUGUAACCCGCCCCUGACUUUGGGAUAACUUCAGGAAACUGGGGCUAAUACCGGAUAGGAGCUCCUGCUGCAUGGGGGGGGUUGGAAAGUUUCGGCGGUUGGGUAUGGACUCGCGGCUUAUCAGCUUGUUGGUGGGGUAGUGGCUUACCAAGGCUUUGACGGGUAGCCGGCCUGAGAGGGUGACCGGCCACAUUGGGACUGAGAUACGGCCCAGACUCCUACGGGAGGCAGCAGUGGGGAAUAUUGCACAAUGGGCGGAAGCCUGAUGCAGCAACGCCGCGUGCGGGAUGACGGCCUUCGGGUUGUAAACCGCUUUCGCCUGUGACGAAGCGUGAGUGACGGUAAUGGGUAAAGAAGCACCGGCUAACUACGUG